RNAcentral lists this long non-coding RNA (342 nucleotides) under Oryza sativa Indica Group (long-grained rice). Its description in RNAcentral is "lncRNA OsZS97_04G004090". Lineage: Eukaryota; Viridiplantae; Streptophyta; Magnoliopsida; Poales; Poaceae. The record is from RNAcentral.
GAAGACACACCAUCUCCUAUUCUCUCAUUCCAGAUCCUAAUAUUUCGGAUCGGCAAUGUCACCGAUGAGAGGAGCGGCACCGGCGAGCCAUGGCGACGGGUAAUUGGCAUCAGCGAGACAAGAUGCCGACAAUGGUGCCCUACAUCCAGCGGUAACCUUGACGACGGCAUGCACGACCAAGCAGCGGAAGUAGCAUCCACGAGGAGGCCGAUUCACAACGGCGUGAGCAAACUGUCAUCCAUGUCGAUGCUGACAAUGAGAUGGUCGGCGAUGAGGCUCCACCGUACAAGGAGGUCAGGCAUGAGGGAGGACUGCAUCCACUGGGAUCUACACUGUGACUGA